Lagopus leucura (white-tailed ptarmigan) is the source of this 287-nucleotide long non-coding RNA. RefSeq lists it as uncharacterized. NCBI's taxonomy places the organism in Eukaryota, Metazoa, Chordata, Aves, Galliformes, Phasianidae. The record is from RefSeq and is a predicted model, not a curated record. The transcript is spliced from 3 exons.
UCUUCGGGCGCCGGCGCGGCCUUCAACAGAACGCCGCCUCCGUUCACGAUUAGGGGACGGGGACCCAAGGGCCGGUUCUGUUCGGAGGCAGCCGUGAGGUAACAGAGGCGCCGGGCCGCCCCGCAGCCUCUCUGCAGGUCGCGUUUGCUUUUCUCGCUCCCUCCGUUCUAAGGACAGGCAGCACCUGACUGUUAUUUGACUUCAACGAAAAAAAAAAAUACAAAUCAUUUUAUGUUCUACAACGUACAGACCCGUCAUACCUAUUUGUGAGCCGGAUCCCACACCGC